Long non-coding RNA from Odontomachus brunneus, 2243 nucleotides. RefSeq lists it as uncharacterized. The record is from RefSeq and is a predicted model, not a curated record. Lineage: Eukaryota; Metazoa; Arthropoda; Insecta; Hymenoptera; Formicidae. The transcript has 2 exons.
CGGCAUUUGACGCGAGUAUCUCGUCUUGCGUGAGUACCACGAAGUAAGCGAUGUUCGCGAAGACGUAAAUCACUGUCACCAGCGGUAACGAUAUACAAAUCGCCUUAGGAAGAUUUCUGCAAAGAUAGAAAAAACGUUUUCCUCCCUAUAAUAAAUUAAUUGGAGAAUCCUGACAGACGAAAAGGAGGCCAUAGAAGGUUCGGAAUAACUUACUUGUAGGGAUCCUUCAGUUCUUCCGUCACGAAGUUGAGAUAAUUCCAACCAGAAUAGGAGAACAAUCCCGAGUAUACGGCCAAAGCAAUAUAACCGGGCUGAGUGUUGGUCCCGGCCAUCGGAUCUUGGAAGUUUUUUGUAUGGCCCAUGCAGAACCACCAGAAGCCGGCCACCAUGAUGAUCACCAGAGCAAAAAUCUUGGUGCCAGUGAAGAUGUCCUGCACUCUGGUCGCCCAUUUGACGUUGUAGCAGUUGAUAACAGUUAAGAGACCUGCAAACACGACAGAACAAGAAUCAGUACACGCCGUUGUGCGUUAAUAUCGUCGCAGCAAGCAAGACAAUCCGAUGCGCGUGUGAGUAACGCUUCCGGGUUAUAUUUAAAAGUCGCGUACGCAGUGUUCGCGCCAUGUUUUCGCAGAUUGCCCACGCGAGCCUUACGUCGCAGCGCAGCAUGUGCAUCGACAUACUUUCGGCCAGCAUGGCGAUAUCCAUGAUUCAUCACCCGGCAUCUAUAGUCAAUAUGGUACAUCCAUUUUGCAUUAUCGGGUGCCUCCAUAAGAUUAUGAGAAAUACGGAUUAAUCGAUCAGCCAGGAAGAAAAGUCAAGACUUUUUAACAUAAUGAAUCAAAAUAAAUCAAGAUAAAAGCCUCUUAUAAAGAAUUCAAUGCAUCUAAUUUAACAAGUAUAUAAUUAUCCACAGAAACGUAUAAUAUAAAGUUGCAAUCGAUUAUAAGAGUUACAAUCCGGUUUUCUUCUCAGCUCUUCCGCUUUUCUCACACAUAUGUGUUCAUAACUUCGCGAUAAUAUUCAUCUUACACGUGACCACGGCGGCCAGUAGUCGCACUGCUGCAUACGGCGGUGUGCAUCCGGGCCAUACGGGCUGUAGGAUGUAUUGUGCGAAUGUGAGAGCGGUGAUGGCAUUCCCCGUUGGAACCAGGACGAAUAACGCCACCCAGAGAUAAAGGAACGCGGGCAAUGGUCCAAAAGCGACGCUGAUGUAUGCGUAGUCACCGCCAGAUUUCGGGAUCAUUGUACCUGCAGACACAAGGAGAUACUCUGUCAUCUGUAUUUUCAUUGAGUAAACCAUCGAUUUGUACGUGCGCGUGCCGCGGCUGCAUUAGUUCACGCACACUUCGCAAUCCCCGAGUCGCGACAUGUGCGCGAAUCGACUUUGUUUUCUCGUGGAACGAUUCGUGAUGAUGCACACGAACAAUGCGCUUUAUCACGCCCGCCCCUUUUGUGUUUUUCGAGAUAUCGCGUUCGAGAUAUAAUAAGGUUUCUUAUUCAUCGACAAAUCCGUGACACCAAUGUCACGGAAAAUAAUUGUUGGACCGAAUCGAAUUUCUCUUCUUUCUCUCUUUUAUUUCGAAGAGUCAUUUGUACCUGCAAUAAAGAGAUAUUCGGCAGGGAGAUGAUUUCGGACGCAUGUCUUUCAUUUAAUGUACGGCACGCGAUAGUUGCGGCCGGUAGUUGUGGGUCGUAAUAGUGCGCAGACGUAAUUACGUGUAUCACGAGAGCGCCGGGAAUUUACACUCGUUCAAUUUCCCGUUAUGCGAUAAUAAUGAAUUAAUUGCACACUUUUGCACUUUUUGUUUCCUCAAUCUUGAUCCAUUAUUGAGUGUACUUUGCUUUCAUACGCGACAAUUCGCAAACAUAAAUUUAUCUGACAAUUGCGAAAAUAGUAUGAGACGAAGAUAAGCGUCAAUUAAGACGUCCGAGGAGAUUUAAACAAAUGUUUUCGUUGUGAUUGUGCAAUAUGAGAAAUUGUGAAACUUUAUCGCUUUACGCUGGUGUAGAAAUCCAAAAGUAGAGAUUCUUAACUUCAACGGACCGUCGAUACUUUUACUCUUAAUUAAUUUUGUAAUUAUCAACAACACAUGAUACUUUAUAUCAGUGUCAUUACUUCGUAAUAGACGUAUCGCUUGAAAACAGUUUUUAAGGAAAAUUUAUUCGUACCUGUGAUAAGAUAAAUGUGUUAAAAUUAUGUGUUAUUAACGACUAGUUCACACAAUAAAAUGUCUUAAAAUGUU